UCGGGAAUUUUGGGCAAUGGGCGAAAGCCUGACCCAGCAACGCCGCGUGAAGGAUGAAGUAUUUCGGUAUGUAAACUUCGUAAGAAUAGGAAGAAUAAAUGACGGUACUAUUUGUAAGGUCCGGCUAACUACGUGCCAGCAGCCGCGGUAAUACGUAGGGACCAAGCGUUGUUCGGAUUUACUGGGCGUAAAGGGCGCGUAGGCGGCGUGGUAAGUCAUCUGUGAAAUCUCCGAGCUUAACUCGGAACGGUCAGAUGAUACUGCUGUGCUAGAGUACAGAAAGGGCAAUCGGAAUUCUUGGUGUAGCGGUGAAAUGCGUAGAUAUCAAGAGGAACACCUGAGGCGAAGGCGGGUUGCUAGGCUGAUACUGACGCUGAGGCGCGAAAGCUAGGGUAGCAAACGGGAUUAGAUACCCAGGUAGUCCCUGAGCGGGCUGGCAAGGCG
RNAcentral lists this ribosomal RNA (444 nucleotides) under uncultured bacterium. RNAcentral's name for it is "bacterial SSU rRNA". It matches the Rfam family "Bacterial small subunit ribosomal RNA", at positions 355 to 822 of the family's 1533-position model. The record is from RNAcentral.